GACGAACGCUGGCGGCGUGCUUAACACAUGCAAGUCGAACGGAAAGGCCCUGCUUGCAGGGUACUCGAGUGGCGAACGGGUGAGUAACACGUGGGUGAUCUGCCCUGCACUUCGGGAUAAGCCUGGGAAACUGGGUCUAAUACCGGAUAGGAGCCAUUUUUAGUGGGAUGGUUGGAAAGUUUUUUCGGUGUAGGAUGAGCUGGCGGGCUAUCGGCUUGUUGGGGGGGUAAUGGCCUACCAAGGCGGCGGCGGGUAGCCGGCCUGAGGGGGUGGACUGCCACCUUGGGUCUGAGGUGCGGCACAGACUCCGACGGGAGGCAGAAGUGGGGAAUCUUGCACGAUGGGCGCAAGCCUGGUGCAGCGAGGCCGCGUGGGGGAUGACGGCCUUCGGGUUGUAAACUCCUUUCGCUAGGGACGAAGCUUUUUGUGACGGUACCUAGAUAAGAAGCACCGGCUAACUACGUG
Molecule: ribosomal RNA, 465 nt
Filed under: uncultured bacterium
Lineage: Bacteria
Description: partial 16S ribosomal RNA
Rfam family: Bacterial small subunit ribosomal RNA
Source: RNAcentral